Molecule: non-coding RNA, 1102 nt
Organism: Electrophorus electricus (electric eel)
Lineage: Eukaryota; Metazoa; Chordata; Actinopteri; Gymnotiformes; Gymnotidae
Source: RefSeq, a predicted model, not a curated record
CACGGGUCCGUGUUGCUCAGUUAAAACCUGCUGCGUGCAAGCGGCUCGAUUCUUGUCCAGAAUGGCUAGGUUUUUUGCGAAAUCCUCAGGGCCCAUCAAAAGUAUUGUAGCGACACAUUUCCUGCAUAUUUUCCAAAUGAAGCUCACGAUGGCUACUUAAAAUGCCCUCGGGACCCAACACAUUCCUGGAAUUCUGAUCGCAUUCCAUCAGAAGAUUGAAGAACUAAGGGAAUAAAGUACGAGGCCUUGAGGUUACCCGAGGGUGGCCGUGCGUAUGAUGGAGUGCUUUCCUGCCGCCAAUAAUAAACUGAGUCCGCACGAGGAGAUAUUUACAUGGCCAGAAAAGGGCAGGAAAAGCGCCCAGAAUCCUUUCAGCGAAACUCUCUAAAUAAAUCAAGAUCUCAGGAAAGCGAGCCUACAAUCACUGUUUAUGAGCGAACACCAGCGCUUAUCUUCAAAGCAGCAGAGAGGCAGUUUGAAUGCGCCGUGGGACUGACAAUACUAACUCACAUGCGCGUGUGCGUGUAUGCGUGAACGCGCGUUUUUGUAAGAAUAAAAGAUUCAUCCGAGCGCAAUCGUGCAAGCCUAUUGAUACGACAUUUUUCAUGAAAUGCAUUAUUCACUAAAAGCAGAGUAGAUGCAGGAUUUAGCAAGAAAUCCCCCAAUGAUAUUAUCAAAAGUGUGUGUGAGGGAUACCUCUUUGAAUGCUUAUGUGUUAGAAUCAGAGCUGAAUAUAGUGCAGUAGCCUGCUGUGACAUACAGUAGUAGAUCACAGUUGGUUGAGAGGUGAACAAUAGUUUCAGGAGGGCCAGUGUCUGAUAAUGCUGUCUUAUCACAUACUCAAACUAGAAUACAAUUCCACAUUAGCACUGAAUGCUAGUGAGUUAUAAAUCCCAAACUGUUCCAGGACUGCACCUUCAGCUGAGGCUUUAAGAACAGAUAUAAGUGAAGGGUCAAUGGGACGUCUUCUGUGAGCUUGAAUGAGGAAAGGCUCUUUAUAUUCAGUCAAUGGUUUAUUAUUUAGGGUAUGAGGUAUUUUUCAUUUCAUACUUCAUGGAGAGUCAAUCACUCUAUCCCUUUGGGACUGUAUGAAUUUUGAAAU